Long non-coding RNA from Gambusia affinis (western mosquitofish), 1019 nucleotides. RefSeq lists it as uncharacterized. The transcript is spliced from 3 exons. The record is from RefSeq and is a predicted model, not a curated record. NCBI's taxonomy places the organism in Eukaryota, Metazoa, Chordata, Actinopteri, Cyprinodontiformes, Poeciliidae.
CGAGGAAAUGUCUGACGUGACGUUCAUGGUGGAAGGACGACCGUCCUUCGGCCACCGGGUUCUGCUCAUGUCCGCGUCUGAAAGAAUCACGGCGCUGGUCAGUGAGACAAAUGUUGGAUAAAAUGCAACAUGUUUAGACUACAGACGGUUUUCACGUUGGAUUUACUGGAAUGAAAAGAUCCGAAUCAGUUUGUUUUACUUUUAUCAGUUUCCUUCAUCGUUAUGUUUGUGUGACGAUGUUUUUGGUCCCAUUGCUGAAUAACUGCAGCGCUGCUGUGUGACGUAUUUACAGAAGUCAGACUGUUUUCAUUACUACCACAGCAACAUGCAAAAAACACAAAUCUCAAUUCAGUAUCCAGACCUUUUGUCCUGGUAAAUGUUUUCUCGUCUUUCCUAUUUUGAAAAGGAGUUGGAAGAAUAAAACCUCUGCUGGUUCGUCUUGAUAAACCUGAGACCCAGUUUCUGUCAGCAGCGAUGCUCUCCAACACUCUGACUGCAGACAACGCUGUGAGCCGGUACCGGGUCGCCAUGGUACCGAAACACGAGUUCAGUCCUCCAGAACCGGAACAGAAAAUUCUGAAGCUGACUGGAUGAAGCUUUGACCUUCUGCUCACAACCAGAGAGGCGUUUUUAUUUCUGGACCUCUGAGUGAAACGUGUUCUCUCUGAACCCGUCCUAAUGGAUCCGGUUCUGGUUCUCCCUGCGUCUCUGCAGCGGUUGAGCUCUGCCGGUUCUGUGAGGGAUUCUUCCUGCAGAAUCUGGACCGGCUGCUGGACAGAGAGGCCUUCCACCGCCUGUUGCUGGGCGACACCAGUAGGGGAGCGCCGUCUGGGUCGGGACGGGACCAGAACCUGGACCUCCUGCUGGUUCUGAGGAGCCUGGAGGCGGCGCUGAUCCAGACUUUCUGACCGGAUGGACCGGAUCGUCUCUGUAACAUCACAAGGGAAAACGUUGCCAGUGGUUCUCCUGCUCCGAGUCCGUUCAGUGUGCUCUGGAUUCCCGCAGUAGAAAAAGCGAAG